RNAcentral lists this ribosomal RNA (808 nucleotides) under uncultured Acidobacteriota bacterium. RNAcentral describes it as "bacterial SSU rRNA". It matches the Rfam family "Bacterial small subunit ribosomal RNA", at positions 38 to 880 of the family's 1533-position model. The record is from RNAcentral. Lineage: Bacteria; Pseudomonadati; Acidobacteriota.
GGCGGCGCGCUUAACACAUGCAAGUCGCACGAGAAAGGGGGCAACCCUGAGUACAGUGGCGUACGGGUGAGUAACACGUGGGUGAUCUACCUCUUAGUGGGGAAUAACCCUGGGAAACCGGGGCUAAUACCGCAUAAGCUCGAGAGAGGAAAGCAGAAAUGCGCUGAGAGAGGAGCCCGCGGCCGAUUAGCUAGUUGGGAGGGUAAGAGCCUACCAAGGCAGAGAUCGGUAGCCGGCCUGAGAGGGCACACGGCCACACUGGCACUGAAACACGGGCCAGACUCCUACGGGAGGCAGCAGUGGGGAAUCUUGCACAAUGGGGGAAACCCUGAUGCAGCGACGCCGCGUGAGCGAUGAAGCCCUUCGGGGUGUAAAGCUCUUUCGUCAGGGAAGAUGAUGACGGUACCUGGAGAAGCAGCUGCGGCUAACUACGUGCCAGCAGCCGCGGUAAUACGUAGGCAGCGAGCGUUGUUCGGAGUUACUGGGCGUAAAGGGUGUGUAGGCGGUUCUUUAAGUUUGGUGUGAAAUCUCCCGGCUCAACCGGGAGGGUGCGCCGAAUACUGAGGGACUCGAGUGCGGGAGAGGAAAGUGGAAUUCCUGGUGUAGCGGUGAAAUGCGUAGAUAUCAGGAGGAACACCGGUGGUGUAGACGGCUUUCUGGACCGUAACUGACGCUGAGACACGAAAGCGUGGGUAGCAAACAGGAUUAGAUACCCUGGUAGUCCACGCCCUAAACGAUGCAUAUUUGGGUGUGGGUCAUUCAGUUGAUCCGUGCCGGAGCUAACGCGUUAAAUAUGCCGCCUGGGGAG